This 466-nucleotide ribosomal RNA is filed under the name Pasteurellaceae bacterium canine oral taxon 080. Its description in RNAcentral is "bacterial SSU rRNA". It matches the Rfam family "Bacterial small subunit ribosomal RNA", at positions 9 to 471 of the family's 1533-position model. Lineage: Bacteria; Pseudomonadati; Pseudomonadota; Gammaproteobacteria; Pasteurellales; Pasteurellaceae. The record is from RNAcentral.
GAGUUUGAUCAUGGCUCAGAUUGAACGCUGGCGGCAGGCUUAACACAUGCAAGUCGAACGGUAGCAGGAGAAAGCUUGCUUUCUUGCUGACGAGUGGCGGACGGGUGAGUAAUGCUUGGGAAUCUGGCUUAUGGAGGGGGAUAACUACUGGAAACGGUAGCUAAUACCGCGUAAUAUCGAGAGAUUAAAGACUGGGACCUACGGGCCAGUUGCCAUAAGAUGAGCCCAAGUGGGAUUAGGUAGUUGGUGGGGUAAAGGCCUACCAAGCCCGCGAUCUCUAGCUGGUCUGAGAGGAUGACCAGCCACACUGGAACUGAGACACGGUCCAGACUCCUACGGGAGGCAGCAGUGGGGAAUAUUGCACAAUGGGGGGAACCCUGAUGCAGCCAUGCCGCGUGAAUGAAGAAGGCCUUCGGGUUGUAAAGUUCUUUCGGUGGUGAGGAAGGUAUCAACUUUAAUAGAGUUG